CCGCGUCCCUGGCGAGAUCCUCCUGGCUGCUGGAAAUGCAGAAGGUGCAUCACCAUCUACCAAAAAGGGAAAUCACUUAAUCCGCCUUUAUGUUCCUGGGUGGCAAACAGAACCUCUGAGCCGAGGAAGGUCUUGCUCUUGAGGUCACCCUGCUAAGUGAAAUGAAUGAGUGUGAAAGCAAGGAAGCAAGGAAGGAAGGAAGCAGCCAGGUGAGUUGGGCAGUAUUGCCCCUAUCUGUGAAAUAAGGAAACUGAGGUCCAGAGAGGCGAACCAACCUGCUCGACAUCACACAGUUGAUGCGGGACACGAUUUCUAGAACUUGAACCUGGUCCAAACUUCAUCCAGAACGAGAGUUUGUCUCCUUAACCAGCGGUGGCCGCAGCCCAGAUGUUACUGCUGGUACGUGCUGCACGUGUUGUGAACCGUUAAAGGCGCAGGACUCUGGUUUCCCAGGGAAGGUGCAGAGAGGACUGCUGGCCCGGAAGGCAGUUGUCUGGUGCCAAGCGGUGGCGGUGGUUUUCUCACUUUCCUUCUUUUUUUCAUUUCCUUUGCUGAGCCUGAGCCAGGGAAGGGUGCUGGCCUCUGCCACACCCCGCUGCCACUCGGCCCUCAGCCUCCUCCUCCCUGUUCACAUCUGUCAGCCAGACCCACUGGCACUUAGCCCCUUUAAUAGCAAUAAGGAUGGGAUUUCCAAGCUGUUCACUAUUAAGUGAAAAUAGAGAGAUACAUGUGUAUAUUAUAUGCUACAAUUUCUGUGAGUGGAAAAUAAUGGCGAUUGCUUCUAGGGAGAGGAACAGAAUAACUGGGGUUGGGAGAGGG
Lutra lutra (Eurasian river otter) is the source of this 819-nucleotide long non-coding RNA. RefSeq lists it as uncharacterized. The transcript has 3 exons. Lineage: Eukaryota; Metazoa; Chordata; Mammalia; Carnivora; Mustelidae. The record is from RefSeq and is a predicted model, not a curated record.